ACGGAAGGCAGCAGUGGGGAAUAUUGGUCAAUGGGGAAACCCUGAACCAGCGACGCCGCGUGAGUGAAGAAGUAUUUCGGUAUGUAAAGCUCUAUCAGCAGGGACGAUAAUGACGGUACCUGACUAAGAAGCCCCGGCUAACUACGUGCCAGCAGCCGCGGUAAUACGUAGGGGGCAAGCGUUAUCCGGAUUUACUGGGUGUAAAGGGAGCGUAGGUGGCCAUGCAAGUCAGAUGUGAAAUCCCGGGGCUCAACCCCGGAGCUGCAUUUGAAACUGCGUAGCUAGAGUGCAGGAGAGGUAAGCGGAAUUCCUAGUGUAGCGGUGAAAUGCGUAGAUAUUAGGAGGAACACCAGUGGCGAAAGCGGCUUGCUGGACUGCAACUGACACUGAGGCUCGAAAGCGUGGGGAGCAAACAGGAUUAGAUACCCUGGUA
Molecule: ribosomal RNA, 433 nt
Filed under: uncultured Lachnospiraceae bacterium
Lineage: Bacteria; Bacillati; Bacillota; Clostridia; Lachnospirales; Lachnospiraceae
Description: bacterial SSU rRNA
Rfam family: Bacterial small subunit ribosomal RNA
Source: RNAcentral